This 288-nucleotide unclassified non-coding RNA is filed under the name Tomentella sp. RNAcentral's name for it is "partial contains 5.8S ribosomal RNA, internal transcribed spacer 2, and large subunit ribosomal RNA". Lineage: Eukaryota; Fungi; Basidiomycota; Agaricomycetes; Thelephorales; Thelephoraceae. The record is from RNAcentral.
CGCACCUUGCGCCCUUUGGUAUUCUGAAGGGCAUGGCUGUCUGAGUGUCGUGAACCCCUCAACUCGUCCUCCUCUUGUGGUCGAUGGGCUUGGACAUGGGGGCUUGUCGGGCUACGCAUGGCCCGGCUCCCCUCGAAUGCAUUAGCAAGCUAUGAUAUGCCACCGUGGAUGUGAUAGCCUUUCCCAUCGCCGGCAGUGCCCAUCCAGCAUGCUGCCAGCCGUCCUGCCUGGGACAACAACCUCUGACGACUUGACCUCAGAUUAGAUGGGACUACCCGCUAAACUUAA